This 468-nucleotide ribosomal RNA is filed under the name uncultured bacterium. RNAcentral describes it as "partial 16S ribosomal RNA". It matches the Rfam family "Bacterial small subunit ribosomal RNA", at positions 28 to 507 of the family's 1533-position model. The record is from RNAcentral.
GACGAACGCUGGCGGCGUGCUUAACACAUGCAAGUCGAACGGAAAGGCCCUGCUUUUGUGGGGUGCUCGAGUGGCGAACGGGUGAGUAACACGUGAGUAACCUGCCCUUGACUUUGGGAUAACUUCAGGAAACUGGGGCUAAUACCGGAUAGGAGCUCCUGCUGCAUGGUGGGGGUUGGAAAGUUUCGGCGGUUGGGGAUGGACUCGCGGCUUAUCAGCUUGUUGGUGGGGUAGUGGCUUACCAAGGCUUUGACGGGUAGCCGGCCUGAGAGGGUGACCGGCCACAUUGGGACUGAGAUACGGCCCAGACUCCUACGGGAGGCAGCAGUCGGGAAUAUUGCACAAUGGGCGGAAGCCAUCUACGGAAGCGCCGCGUGAGUGAUGACGGCCUUCGGGUUGUAAACCGCUUUCGCCUGUAACGAAGCGUGAGUGACGGUAAUGGGUAAAAAAGCACCGGCUAACUCCGUG